UAGCGAUAGCUAAUUGUAAAUAUCGACUAUGUCGAAUAAAAUUCUAGGUAGAAUUAUGAUAAUGACAUUAUCUGCCUAUGUGUCUUGACCAAAUUACGUGCCAGCAGUCGCGGUAAUACGUAGAAGACUAGUGUUAUUCAUCUUUAAUAGGUUUAAAGGGUACCUAGACGGUAAAUCAAGCACUAAUUUACUAGAGUUACUUGUGAGGGGGUUUUAAAGUACUGCUGGUAAAGAGAUGAAAUUCUUUGACACCUUUUCUUUACGGCACAGGUAUAGGCGAAGGCAUCCCCUUAUGUGAUAACUGACGUUGAGGGACGAAGGCUUUUUGUGCGAACAGGAUUAGAUACCCCAGUAUCAGAGCAGAAAAUGAUGAAUGUCAUAGAUUAGACAGUUUAUUCUAUAAAU
Molecule: ribosomal RNA, 405 nt
Filed under: Lecanora imshaugii
Lineage: Eukaryota; Fungi; Ascomycota; Lecanoromycetes; Lecanorales; Lecanoraceae
Description: SSU rRNA
Rfam family: Bacterial small subunit ribosomal RNA
Source: RNAcentral